Molecule: ribosomal RNA, 253 nt
Filed under: uncultured bacterium
Lineage: Bacteria
Description: partial 16S ribosomal RNA
Rfam family: Bacterial small subunit ribosomal RNA
Source: RNAcentral
UACGGGGGGGGCAAGCGUUGUUCGGAAUUACUGGGCGUAAAGGGCUCGUAGGCGGCCAACUAAGUCGGACGUGAAAUCCCCAGGCUCAACCUGGGAACUGCGUCUGAUACUGGGAGGCUUGAGUAUGGGAGAGGGAUGUAGAAUUCCAGGUGUAGCGGUGAAAUGCGUAGAUAUCUGGAGGAAUACCGGUGGCGAAGGCGGCAUCCUGGACCAUAACUGACGCUGAGGCGCGAAAGCUAGGGGAGCAAACGGG